AGAACUGCUAGUGGACGAAUGCUUCAGGCAUGAAAGUUUGGUUCAAUUCACCAGGCAAAGAACCAUGACUAGCAGCACUGCUUGCUGAGGGCAAAGGGAAUAUCAAAAGAGUACAGGAAGAAAGUAGUUAUAAAUACCAGCUACAAGAGCAUGACCAGUUACAGAAACAAGGAUUUAAGUUACAGGAUAUCAAAGGAGGAGAGUGAACAUCAUCCAAGGAUUUGGAGUCCUCUUCUGGGAAAAAGGUCAACAAAGAGUUCUUGAGCAUCUGCCAGACCAAGUACAGUUCUAGACAUCAAAGAACCUACAAUGAAUAAAGCAAGUCUCUUUCUUCAGGAAAAUUACAGCAUAAUGUUGUUGCAAUUAAGUUUUUUUCAUGCAUGUAAAACCCUCGUGCAUACAUUUGGCUGAUACAUACUGAACUCUAAAAACACAUUACUACCCAUUUUAGUAAUUAACA
Long non-coding RNA from Homo sapiens (human), 460 nucleotides. RefSeq lists it as uncharacterized. The record is from RefSeq and is a predicted model, not a curated record. Lineage: Eukaryota; Metazoa; Chordata; Mammalia; Primates; Hominidae. The transcript is spliced from 3 exons.